AUGAUGUCGAACAUUGUGCGAUUGUUGUUCGUUGGUGUAGUUACAGUUGAUAUGAUUGAAGUGCAGAAAAUAUUGCGGAAUCGGUUGAAGAGAUAUUACCGAAACCGUUACAUUGAAGAUGUAGGCGAUGAUGAAUGUGAUGUUGAAUGUUAUAGAUUUAUGAUGAAGAUGCGCGAGGAGGUGAAGAUGGUUGAAGCAGCAGAUGAUUGA
Molecule: non-coding RNA, 210 nt
Organism: Vicia faba (fava bean)
Lineage: Eukaryota; Viridiplantae; Streptophyta; Magnoliopsida; Fabales; Fabaceae
Source: the annotation of a GenBank genome assembly